GAUGAACGCUGGCGGCGUGCCUAAUACAUGCAAAUCGAGCGAACGGACGAGAAGCUUGCUUCUCUGAUGUUAGCGGCGGACGGGUGAGUAACACGUGGAUAACCUACCUAUAAGACUGGGAUAACUUCGGGAAACCGGAGCUAAUACCGGAGAAUAUUUUGAACCGCAUGGUUCAAAAGUGAAAGACGGUCUUGCUGUCACUUAUAGAUGGAUCCGCGCUGCAUUAGCUAGUUGGUAAGGUAACGGCUUACCAAGGCAACGAUGCAUAGCCGACCUGAGAGGCUGAUCGGCCACACUGGAACUGAGACACGGUCCAGACUCCUACGGGAGGCAGCAGUAGGGAAUCUUCCGCAAUGGGCGAAAGCCUGACGGAGCAACGCCGCGUGAGUGAUGAAGGUCUUCGGAUCGUAAAGCUCUGUUAUUGGGGAAGAACAUAUGUGUAAGUAACUGUGCACAUCUUGACGGUACCUAAUCAGAAAGCCCCGGCUAACUACGUG
This 497-nucleotide ribosomal RNA is filed under the name uncultured bacterium. Its description in RNAcentral is "partial 16S ribosomal RNA". It matches the Rfam family "Bacterial small subunit ribosomal RNA", at positions 28 to 507 of the family's 1533-position model. The record is from RNAcentral.